CGCGUAGGCGGCUCGGCACGUCCGUUGUGAAAUCGCCCGGCUCAACUGGGCGGGGUCAGCGGAUACGGUCGAGCUCGAGCAAGCUAGGGGGCAAUGGAAUUCCCGGUGUAGUGGUGGAAUGCGUAGAUAUCGGGAGGAACACCAGUGGCGAAGGCGGUUGCCUGGGGCUUUGCUGACGCUGAUGCGCGAAAGCGUGGGGAGCGAUCC
Molecule: ribosomal RNA, 207 nt
Filed under: uncultured bacterium
Lineage: Bacteria
Description: partial 16S ribosomal RNA
Rfam family: Bacterial small subunit ribosomal RNA
Source: RNAcentral